Molecule: ribosomal RNA, 652 nt
Filed under: uncultured beta proteobacterium
Lineage: Bacteria; Pseudomonadati; Pseudomonadota; Betaproteobacteria
Description: partial 16S ribosomal RNA
Rfam family: Bacterial small subunit ribosomal RNA
Source: RNAcentral
GGCCGCGGGAAUUCGAUUGAGUUUGAUCCUGGCUCAGAUUGAACGCUGGCGGCAUGCCUUACACAUGCAAGUCGAACGGUAACAGCACUUCGGUGGCUGACGAGUGGCGAACGGGUGAGUAAUACAUCGGAACGUGCCCGAGAGUGGGGGAUAACGCAGCGAAAGCUGUGCUAAUACCGCAUACGAUCUACGGAUGAAAGCAGGGGACCGCAAGGCCUUGCGCUCAUGGAGCGGCCGAUGGCAGAUUAGGUAGUUGGUGGGAUAAAAGCUUACCAAGCCGACGAUCUGUAGCUGGUCUGAGAGGACGACCAGCCACACUGGGACUGAGACACGGCCCAGACUCCUACGGGAGGCAGCAGUGGGGAAUUUUGGACAAUGGGCGAAAGCCUGAUCCAGCCAUGCCGCGUGCAGGAUGAAGGCCUUCGGGUUGUAAACUGCUUUUGUACGGAACGAAAAGGUCUUUUCUAAUAAAGAAGGCUCAUGACGGUACCGUAAGAAUAAGCACCGGCUAACUACGUGCCAGCAGCCGCGGUAAUACGUAGGGUGCAAGCGUUAAUCGGAAUUACUGGGCGUAAAGCGUGCGCAGGCGGUUAUAUAAGACAGAUGUGAAAUCCCCGGGCUCAACCUGGGAACUGCAUUAGCUAGAGUGCGG